ACAGCAGCCGCCGCGGGAAUACGUAGGUGGCAAGCGUUGUCCGGAAUUAUUGGGCGUAAAGGGCUCGCAGGCGGUUUCUUAAGUCUGAUGUGAAAGCCCCCGGCUCAACCGGGGAGGGUCAUUGGAAACUGGGAAACUUGAGUGCAGAAGAGGAGAGUGGAAUUCCACGUGUAGCGGUGAAAUGCGUAGAGAUCGGAAAGAACACCAACGGCGAAAGCACUCUGCUGGGCCGACACUGACACUGAGAGACGAAAGCGUGGGGAGCAAACAGGACUAGAUACCCCAGUAGUCCCUGUCUCUUAUAA
This 305-nucleotide ribosomal RNA is filed under the name uncultured bacterium. RNAcentral's name for it is "partial 16S ribosomal RNA". It matches the Rfam family "Bacterial small subunit ribosomal RNA", at positions 508 to 809 of the family's 1533-position model. The record is from RNAcentral.